RNAcentral lists this ribosomal RNA (385 nucleotides) under uncultured bacterium. RNAcentral describes it as "bacterial SSU rRNA". It matches the Rfam family "Bacterial small subunit ribosomal RNA", at positions 28 to 415 of the family's 1533-position model. The record is from RNAcentral.
GACGAACGCUGGCGGCGUGCUUAACACAUGCAAGUCGAGCGGUAAGGCCCUUUCGGGGGUACACGAGCGGCGAACGGGUGAGUAACACGUGGGUGACCUGCCCUUAGCUCUGGGAUAAGCCUGGGAAACUGGGUCUAAUACCGGAUAUGACUCCAUGACGCAUGUUGUGGGGUGGAAAGCCUUGUGCGGCUAGGGAUGGGCCCGCGGCCUAUCAGCUUGUUGGUGGGGUGAUGGCCACCAAGGCGACGACGGGUAGCCGGCCUGAGGAGGCGACCGGCCACACUGGGACUGAGACACGGCCCAGACUCCUACGGGAGGCAGCAGGUGGGGAAUCUUGCGCAAUGGGCGAAAGCCUGACGCAGCGACGCCGCGUGGGGAUGACGCC